AGGAACAAAUCAAGCAUGCUGAAAAGCAGCUAAAUUACCAAUGUGGUCGUUCUUUCUUGAGAUUUACAAUGAACAAAUCACAGAUUUGUUGGAUCCAAGCCAAAGAAAUCUUCAGAUAAGAGAAGAUGUCAAGUCUGGUGUUUAUGUUGAAAAUUUGACGGAGGAGUAUGUAUGCACAAUGAAGGAUGUCACACAAGUACUGAUAAAGGUUUGCUUCGUUUUUUCUUCUUGGACUACAUAGUGAGGAUGCUUAAGG
Pistacia vera is the source of this 256-nucleotide long non-coding RNA. RefSeq lists it as uncharacterized. The transcript has 3 exons. NCBI's taxonomy places the organism in Eukaryota, Viridiplantae, Streptophyta, Magnoliopsida, Sapindales, Anacardiaceae. The record is from RefSeq and is a predicted model, not a curated record.